GACGAACGCUGGCGGCGUGCUUAACACAUGCAAGUCGAGCGGUAAGGCCCUUUCGGGGGUACACGAGCGGCGAACGGGUGAGUAACACGUGGGUGACCUGCCUUUAGCUCUGGGAUAAGCCUGGGAAACUGGGUCUAAUACCGGAUAUGACUCCGCGGUGCAUGCUGUGGGGUGGAAAGCCUUGUGCGGCUGGAGAUGGGCCCGCGGCCUAUCAGCUUGUUGGUGGGGUGAUGGCCUACCAAGGCGACGACGGGUAGCCGGCCUGAGAGGGCGACGGGCCACACUGGGACUGAGACACGGCCCAGACUCCUACGGGAGGCAGCAGUGGGGAAUCUUGCGCAAUGGGCGAAAGCCUGACGCAGCGACGCCGCGUGAGGGAUGACGGCCU
RNAcentral lists this ribosomal RNA (388 nucleotides) under uncultured bacterium. RNAcentral's name for it is "bacterial SSU rRNA". It matches the Rfam family "Bacterial small subunit ribosomal RNA", at positions 28 to 417 of the family's 1533-position model. The record is from RNAcentral.